RNAcentral lists this ribosomal RNA (465 nucleotides) under uncultured bacterium. RNAcentral's name for it is "partial 16S ribosomal RNA". It matches the Rfam family "Bacterial small subunit ribosomal RNA", at positions 338 to 795 of the family's 1533-position model. The record is from RNAcentral.
CCUACGGGAGGCUGCAGUGGGGAAUUUUGGACAAUGGGCGCAAGCCUGAUCCAGCUAUUCCGCGUGUGGGAUGAAGGCCCUCGGGUUGUAAACCACUUUUUUAGAGAACGUAAAGCCACCUUCGAAUAUUGGGUGUUGCUGACGGUACUCUAAGAAUACGCCCCGGCUAACUACGUGCCAGCAGCUGCGGUAAUACGUAGGGUGCGAGCGUUAAUCGGAAUUACUGGGCGUAAGGGGUGCGCAGGCGGUUGAGUAAGACAGAUGUGAAAUCCCCGAGCUUAACUCGGGAAUGGCAUAUGUUACUGCUCGACUAGAGUGUGUCAGAGGGAGGUGGAAUUCCACGUGUAGCAGUGAAAUGCGUAGAUAUGUGGAAGAACACCGAUGGCGAAGGCAGCCUCCUGGGACAUAACUGACGCUCAGGCACGAAAGCGUGGGGAGCAAACAGGAUUAGAUACCCGGGUAGUC